This 74-nucleotide transfer RNA is filed under the name Pseudomonadota bacterium. RNAcentral describes it as "tRNA-Gly". It matches the Rfam family "tRNA". Rfam says of the family: Transfer RNA (tRNA) molecules are approximately 80 nucleotides in length. Their secondary structure includes four short double-helical elements and three loops (D, anti-codon, and T loops). Further hydrogen bonds mediate the characteristic L-shaped molecular structure. tRNAs have two regions of fundamental functional importance: the anti-codon, which is responsible for specific mRNA codon recognition, and the 3' end, to which the tRNAs corresponding amino acid is attached (by aminoacyl-tRNA synthetases). tRNAs cope with the degeneracy of the genetic code in two manners: having more than one tRNA (with a specific anti-codon) for a particular amino acid; and 'wobble' base-pairing, i.e. permitting non-standard base-pairing at the 3rd anti-codon position. RNAcentral also lists the same sequence under 2 other names. The record is from RNAcentral. Lineage: Bacteria; Pseudomonadati; Pseudomonadota.
GCGGGCAUAGCUCAAUGGCAGAGCUCCAGCCUUCCAAGCUGGUGGUGCGGGUUCGAUUCCCGCUGCCCGCUCCA